This 253-nucleotide ribosomal RNA is filed under the name uncultured bacterium. RNAcentral's name for it is "partial 16S ribosomal RNA". It matches the Rfam family "Bacterial small subunit ribosomal RNA", at positions 524 to 776 of the family's 1533-position model. The record is from RNAcentral.
UACGUAGGGGGCAAGCGUUGUCCGGAAUCAUUGGGCGUAAAGCGCGUGUAGGCGGCCAGAAAAGUCCGCUGUGAAAACUCGAGGCUCAACUUCGAGCUGUCGGUGGAAACUUUCUGGCUAGAGUCCGGAAGAGGAGAGUGGAAUUCCUGGUGUAGCGGUGAAAUGCGCAGAUAUCAGGAAGAACACCCGUGGCGAAGGCGGCUCUCUGGGACGGUACUGACGCUGAGACGCGAAAGCGUGGGGAGCAAACAGG